Molecule: ribosomal RNA, 459 nt
Filed under: uncultured Lysinibacillus sp.
Lineage: Bacteria; Bacillati; Bacillota; Bacilli; Caryophanales; Bacillaceae
Description: partial 16S ribosomal RNA
Rfam family: Bacterial small subunit ribosomal RNA
Source: RNAcentral
ACGGGAGGCAGCAGUAGGGAAUCUUCCACAAUGGGCGCAAGCCUGAUGGAGCAACGCCGCGUGAGUGAAGAAGGAUUUCGGUUCGUAAAACUCUGUUGCAAGGGAAGAACAAGUAGCGUAGUAACUGGCGCUACCUUGACGGUACCUUGUUAGCAAGCCACGGAUAACUAAGUGCCAGCAGCCGCGGUAAUACGUAGGUGGCAAGCGUUGUCCGGAAUUAUUGGGCGUAAAGCGUGCGCAGGUGGUUUCUUAAGUCUGAUGUGAAAGCCCUCGGCUCAACCGGGGAGGGUCAUUUGAAACUGGGAGACUUGAGUGCAGAAGAGGAAAGUGGAAUUCCAAGUGUAGCGGUGAAAUGCGUAGAGAUUUGGAGGAACACCAGUGGCGAAGGCGACUUUCUGGUCUGUAACUGACACUGAGGCGCGAAAGCGUGGGGAGCAAACAGGAUUAGAUACCCUGGUA